RNAcentral lists this ribosomal RNA (349 nucleotides) under Salmonella enterica. RNAcentral describes it as "partial 23S ribosomal RNA". It matches the Rfam family "Bacterial large subunit ribosomal RNA", at positions 161 to 548 of the family's 2925-position model. Lineage: Bacteria; Pseudomonadati; Pseudomonadota; Gammaproteobacteria; Enterobacterales; Enterobacteriaceae. The record is from RNAcentral. RNAcentral also lists the same sequence under 4 other names.
AAUCCAUAGGUUAAUGAGGCGAACCGGGGGAACUGAAACAUCUAAGUACCCCGAGGAAAAGAAAUCAACCGAGAUUCCCCCAGUAGCGGCGAGCGAACGGGGAGGAGCCCAGAGCCUGAAUCAGCAUGUGUGUUAGUGGAAGCGUCUGGAAAGGCGCGCGAUACAGGGUGACAGCCCCGUACACAAAAGCGCAUGUGCUGUGAGCUCGAUGAGUAGGGCGGGACACGUGGUAUCCUGUCUGAAUAUGGGGGGACCAUCCUCCAAGGCUAAAUACUCCUGACUGACCGAUAGUGAACCAGUACCGUGAGGGAAAGGCGAAAAGAACCCCGGCGAGGGGAGUGAAAAAGAA